RNAcentral lists this ribosomal RNA (1344 nucleotides) under metagenome. Its description in RNAcentral is "bacterial SSU rRNA". It matches the Rfam family "Bacterial small subunit ribosomal RNA", at positions 62 to 1406 of the family's 1533-position model. The record is from RNAcentral.
UCAAGGAGAACGAGAAUCUUCGGAAUCUCUAGUAAACUGGCGCAAGGGUGAGUAACGCGUAGGUAACCUACCCUGGAGUGUGGAAUAACUUCGCGAAAGCGGAGCUAAUACCGCAUGAUAUUCAUUGAACACAUGUUCGUUGAAUCAAAGACUUGUCGCUCUAGGAUGGACCUGCGUCUUAUUAGCUUGUUGGUAGGGUAACGGCCUACCAAGGCUACAAUGAGUAGCUGGUCUGAGAGGAUGAUCAGUCACACUGGCACUGAGACACGGGCCAGACUCCUACGGGAGGCAGCAGUGAGGAAUAUUGGGCAAUGGGCGAAAGCCUGACCCAGCAACGCCGCGUGGGUGAUGAAGCUUCGAGGAGUGUAAAACCCUGUUCGGAGGGAAGAAUGUCCGACUUGUCGGAAUUGACGGUACCUCCAGAGAAAGCUCCGGCUAACUCCGUGCCAGCAGCCGCGGUAACACGGGGGGAGCAAGCGUUGUCCGGAUUUACUGGGCGUAAAGAGCAUGUAGGCGGGACUUUAAGUCAGUUGUGAAAUCUCUCGGCUCAACCGAGAACCUGCAAUUGAAACUAUGGUCCUUGAGUACGGAAGAGGGAAGUGGAAUUCUUGGUGUAGCGGUGAAAUGCGUAGAUAUCAGGAAGAACACCAGUAGCGAAGGCGGCUUCCUGGUCUGUUACUGACGCUGAGAUGCGAAAGCGUGGGGAGCAAACAGGAUUAGAUACCCUGGUAGUCCACGCCGUAAACGAUGGGCACUAGGUGUUGGAGGUUUCGACCCCUUCAGUGCCGCAGCUAACGCAUUAAGUGCCCCGCCUGGGGAGUACGGCCGCAAGGCUGAAACUCAAAGGAAUUGACGGGGGCCCGCACAAGCGGUGGAGCAUGUGGUUUAAUUCGAUUCAACGCGAAGAACCUUACCUGGGCUUGAACUGCAGUCGACAACCCCUGAAAGGGGGCCUUCCUUCGGGACGGCUGUAGAGGUGCUGCAUGGCUGUCGCCAGCUCGUGUCGUGAGAUGUUGGGUUAAGUCCCGCAACGAGCGCAACCCUUGUCCUUUGUUGCCAUCAGAUAAUGCUGGGCACUCAAAGGAGACUGCCUCGGUUGACGAGGAGGAAGGUGGGGAUGACGUCAAGUCCUCAUGGUCCUUACGUCCAGGGCUACACACGUGCUACAAUGGUCGGUACAAUGGGCAGCAAUACCGCGAGGUGGAGCAAAUCCCCAAAACCGGCCUCAGUUCGGAUUGGAGUCUGCAACUCGACUCCAUGAAGUCGGAAUCGCUAGUAAUCGCUGAUCAGCAGGCAGCGGUGAAUACGUUCCCGGGCCUUGUACACACCGCCCGUCACGCCAUG